UUUACCUGGUUUGAUCCUGCCAGUAGUCAUAUGCUUGUCUCAAAGAUUAAGCCAUGCAUGUGUAAGUACGUACCUUCAUUAGAGUGAAACCGCGAACGGCUCAUUAAAUCAGUCAUAAUCCAUUGGGUGUCGAUUAUCCGUUUACUCGGAUAACCGUGGCAAUUCUAGAGCUAAUACGUGCGAUUAAGCCCCGACGCCUCUCUCCCCCUCCUUCGGGAGGGGAGAAAGCGUGGAAGGGCGCAGUUAUUAGAACCAUAAACCGAGACGGGCUCUCGGGUCCGAGCUAUACUCCGGUAUAUGGUGACUCUGGAUAACCUUGCCAAGCGCUAAGGCCUUUCUUUAGAGCCGGCGCUGCGCCCUUCGAGCGACUGCCCUAUCAGCUUUCGAUUGUAGGAUAUUCGCCUACGAUGGCUGUAACGGGUAACGGGGAAUCAGGGUUCGAUUCCGGAGAGGGAGCCUGAGAAACGGCUACCACAUCUAAGGAAGGCAGCAGGCACGCAAAUUACCCAAUCCCGGCUCGGGGAGGUAGUGACGAAAAAUACCGAUGCGGGACUCAUCCGAGGCCUCGCAAUCGGAAUGAGCUCACUUUAAAAAAGUGGGCGAGGAUCGAUUGGAGGGCAAGUCUGGUGCCAGCAGCCGCGGUAAUUCCAGCUCCAAUAGCGUAUAUUAAAGUUGCUGCGGUUAAAAAGCUCGUAGUUGGAAUUUCGGUUCGUACCGGUUGGCCCAUCCAAGGCGCGGCCCGCCUUCUUCGAGAUGCCCCGACUACGGUCGCCGCGUCCGUUCCUUUCCUUUUUUUAAAACCCCCCUUUCUACGCGGCGGUUCCUCAGCGAGAUCCCCCCUCUUUUCAAUCGGCUCCGUUCCUUCGGCCUUCGCGGCGACUCGCGCGGCGCGCGCGCUUCAGUCCGUUAUCUCGAUAACGGCUGCUGCUGCUGCGGCGUCGGUUGCGGCUCGCGUUCGCGGUCGGUCGAUCGGCGGGCUCAGUCGGGGAAAGAGGGUCGCCGGGGGCCCCGCGUACCUACGGGGAAAAGGAACGGGGAGGUGACGCGGCGGUUAGGGGUCGCGCUCGUCGGCGGACGCGUCGGGUGGUUAAACCUUAACCGGUUACGAAUUUGAAAUUAAAUCUAAAAACUUAUCGUCGGCUCUCACGGGGUGCCCUUCACCGAGUGCCCCGCGUGGCCGACGACGAUCGCUUUGAACAAAUUAGAGUGCUCAAAGCAGGCUAAAAAAUUGUUACGCCCGAAUAACAAUGCAUUGAACGAUGGAACAGGACCUCGGUUCUGCGCUCGAAUUUUUUUUUCUCGGUUUUUACCCGAAUCCGAGGUAAUGAUUAAAGGGAACGGUCGGGGGCAUUAGUAUUGCGACGCGAGAGGUGAAAUUCUGUGACCGUCGCACGACUACCUACUGCGAAAGCAUUUGCCAAGAACGUUUCCAUUAAUCAAGAACGAAAGUUAGAGGAUCGAAGGCGAUCAGAUACCGCCCUAGUUCUAACCGUAAACGAUGCCAACUAGCGAUCCGCGUACCAGUCAUUCCCAAGACUGCGCGGGAAGCUCCCGGGAAACCAAAGUCUUUGGGUUCCGGGGGUAGUAUGGUUGCAAAGCUGAAACUUAAAGGAAUUGACGGAAGGGCACCACCAGGAGUGGAGCCUGCGGCUUAAUUUGACUCAACACGGGAAAACUUACCAGGCCCGGACACCGGGAGGAUUGACAGAAUGAGAGCUCUUUCUCGAUUCGGUGCAUGGUGGUGCAUGGCCGUUCUUAGUUGGUGGAGCGAUUUGUCUGGUUAAUUCCGAUAACGAACGAGACUCUGGCCUACUAACUAGUCGACGGAUCUCCAGCAAUUGGUGUCCAGUUCGCAGCUUCUUCUUAGAGGGAUAAGCGGCAAUUCUAGCCGCACGAGAUUGAGCAAUAACAGGUCUGUGAUGCCCUUAGAUGUUCUGGGCCGCACGCGCGCUACACUGAAGGGAUCAACGUGUCCUCCCCCUCCGAGAGGAGCGGGUAACCCGUUGAAAUCCUUUCAUGAUAGGGAUUGGGGUUUGCAAUUGUCUCCCAUGAACGAGGAAUUCCCAGUAAGCGCAAGUCAUGAGCUUGCGUUGAUUACGUCCCUGCCCUUUGUACACACCGCCCGUCGCUACUACCGAUUGAAUGAUUUAGUGAGGCCUUCGGACUGGCGCCCUUGGAUGCCGGGCCCAUGCGGUUCCGCCGCUGGGCUCUCGGCGCCUCGAGCUGACGGAAAGAUGUCCAAACUUGAUCAUUUAGAGGAAGUAAAAGUCGUAACAAGGUUUCCGUAGGUGAACCUGCGGAAGGAUCA
Molecule: ribosomal RNA, 2308 nt
Filed under: Thermosphaeroma subequalum
Lineage: Eukaryota; Metazoa; Arthropoda; Malacostraca; Isopoda; Sphaeromatidae
Description: SSU rRNA
Rfam family: Eukaryotic small subunit ribosomal RNA
Source: RNAcentral